Molecule: ribosomal RNA, 240 nt
Filed under: uncultured bacterium
Lineage: Bacteria
Description: partial 16S ribosomal RNA
Rfam family: Bacterial small subunit ribosomal RNA
Source: RNAcentral
GAUCCUGGCUCAGGAUGAACGCUGGCGGCGUGCUUAACACAUGCAAGUCGAACGAAGCACUUUAAUUGAUUUCUUCGGAAUGAAGUUUUUGUGACUGAGUGGCGGACGGGUGAGUAACGCGUGGGUAACCUGCCUCAUACAGGGGGGAUAACAGUUGGAAACGACUGCUAAUACCGCAUAAGCGCACAGGAUUGCAUGAUCCAGUGUGAAAAACUCCGGUGGUAUGAGAUGGACCCGCGU